RNAcentral lists this ribosomal RNA (327 nucleotides) under uncultured bacterium. RNAcentral describes it as "bacterial SSU rRNA". It matches the Rfam family "Bacterial small subunit ribosomal RNA", at positions 28 to 346 of the family's 1533-position model. The record is from RNAcentral.
GAUGAACGCUGGCGGCGUGCCUAAUACAUGCAAGUCGAACGCACAGCGAAAGGUGCUUGCACCUUUCAAGUGAGUGGCGAACGGGUGAGUAACACGUGGAUAACCUACCUCAAGGUUGGGGAUAACAUUUGGAAACAGAUGCUAAUACCGAAUAAAACUUCGUAUCGCAUGAUACAAGGUUAAAAGGCGCUACGGCGUCACCUAGAGAUGGAUCCGCGGUGCAUUAGUUAGUUGGUGGGUAAAGGCCUACCAAGACAAUGAUGCAUAGCCGAGUUGAGAGACUGAUCGGCCACAUUGGACUGAGACACGGCCCAAACUCCUACGGGA